Molecule: non-coding RNA, 1069 nt
Filed under: Pan troglodytes (chimpanzee)
Lineage: Eukaryota; Metazoa; Chordata; Mammalia; Primates; Hominidae
Source: RNAcentral
AAGUGUGAGACCAGUUUCCAUAGCAACCCCAGUCUGUUUCUCAACAAGAGGUUCCAGCCAGCCUCUUGCCACAUAUGAGUCAUAACUCAAGUGUUUUGUUUGUUUCCCUUGGAUAAAAGUGACUCCGAUUUUUAAUGGCUCCUCUCAAAGAUUAACAUCUCUUCACUAAAUACAGAAGAAUUCCAUAUGUAAUGAAUUUCCGGCCUCCAUGAAAACAAAAUGGACUCUUUCAUGCUGUCUCAACAUAUGAAUACAUUGCUCUGUCACCUGGGUGUUAUUACCGACUUAAAUCUGAAAGAAGCUGGACACGGCAGUGGUGUGUGGGUGCCUGCAGUCCUGAGGAGCUGGGACUGUUUCCCGAACAAUGCCUUUCCACCACACACGGUGGUUGUGAGGGCCAGCUGAGGCAAAGCCCUCAGGAAGACCACUUAAGCCCAGGAGUCCAGCCUGCGCAAGACACUUUUUUUAGGCUUCUGCCACCACAAAAUGUUACUUGGAAAACUAGAUCCCAGCAGAUGACCUGUACUUCUCUGCUCUCUCCCCUACUGCAAAGAGGCAGCGAGUGCAGCAUUAGUAAGCCUGACUCAGGGGAAGGCAGUCAGGAGCACGUCUUUGAAUUCCUCGCAGACGAUGUAUCCAUCAGUCCUGUGGGGACACAACGCGAUGUCAACCCUCGAACCUGCUGCCUGCUCUGCCUCUCCUCCCUCCCCAGUUUGCGGAAGACAGUGGGCCACAUCUGAGCACUAGGGGGUCCUGAAGGAUGUCGCGGGUCAGCCAGUGUCCCACACCCUCCGUGCAGAAGGCAGGCCUGUGGAAACUGGCACUGCCUCUUCCUCCCCAGAUUCUGCCGAAGAAAGCUGGGGUGAAAGCCCUUAUCCAGCCUCACCCAUCAUGGAACAGAGCUCACUAACCAGGCAGCUGCCGGGGAAAGAUGCUGACUGUUUUUUUGCUCACUAGCCUGUGAGUCCCUAAACCUGGGAAGAACGUUUUAAUCCAGCAUUACGAUGCCGGUUUCAUUGGCUCCGUUCCCUCUGGAGGGAAGCCAGAAUUGGUAAAGCACUGACUUUGC